Molecule: non-coding RNA, 309 nt
Organism: Pelodiscus sinensis (Chinese soft-shelled turtle)
Lineage: Eukaryota; Metazoa; Chordata; Testudines; Trionychidae
Source: RefSeq, a predicted model, not a curated record
CCUGCCCCUUGCCCCUCCCACCCAUAGCAUUUUGGCCAUGUGCCUCUUUGUGCCCCAUGCAUUGCCAAUGCUCUGCUCUGCUCAGUGUUUUGCUCCUGCAGGGGUGCUCCCCUCCCCGUCAAAGCUCGGAGAGCUCACAGCGCUACUCCGGAUGCUGCUCCCAGCAGCUGAGGUGGCUUUGGGAGACCCUGGAGGGAAUCCAAGCUGUGCAGGGAUCAGCUCUGCCUUCCCACCACAUGGCACUGUGGGAUACUUCCCCACAAUGCACUGCUCCCACUGUUGAUGACAUGAUCUGUUAACAGAGAGAGG